AGGGAAAACAGCGUGGCAUUUCUGCUAUCACCACUGCCACCAUGCCAGGAUCUUCAUCAAGGAGCAGAGACACUGUGAGACAUGAGACUACAUGGAGUGAUGGGAAAACAAAUCCAGCAUGAAAGGGUGAAGGAAAUGAACGAAAAGAAAAUGGGAACUAAAUGAGAUGACAGAAAACAAUGGGAAAGAAGGCAGGCAAUAGGAUGCAGAAACAACACCAGCCAGAUUCGAACCCGCAUUUCCCAUUUAAGCACCACAAUUCAAUGGUCCAAUGUGUUUGGAGCACCUCAAAGCCAUGACUAUAACAUCUAUUUUUAAGAGCAUUCUUCUACUCAGCGUUCUUUCCGUUGGUCUGGCACAAAGGCGGGACAAGUAAGUGCACCCUCAUGUGGACAGAUCAAAGGCAGGGGCCUUCAGUCUUAAACCACAUGGACACGGCGCAGAGAACCCUCAAAGCCAGAUCUGAUCCACUGCUUUCUAAACUCUCCACUACAACAAGAGGAAGUGUGAGAGAUCACUCAUCCCGAAGAUUGAUCGCAGGGAACACAGCUCUUGACGUGAUUAGAAACACAUGGAAGUUGAAGAGAGAUCUAGGGUGAGAUUUGCUUUGAGCAUCUGGAGUGAGUAAUGGUGGAGGAAGCCAAUCAAUACCUCUUUGCCUGAUGAUGGCCAUUCAGGGUGUAAUUGCGCAGGGUGCCUUUUCCUCCAACGGAACAAAACUG
Cyprinus carpio (common carp) is the source of this 722-nucleotide long non-coding RNA. RefSeq lists it as uncharacterized. The record is from RefSeq and is a predicted model, not a curated record. The transcript is spliced from 5 exons. Lineage: Eukaryota; Metazoa; Chordata; Actinopteri; Cypriniformes; Cyprinidae.